AGUGAACGCUGGCGGUAGGCCUAACACAUGCAAGUCGAACGGCAGCACAGUAAGAGCUUGCUCUUACGGGUGGCGAGUGGCGGACGGGUGAGGAAUACAUCGGAAUCUACUUUUUCGUGGGGGAUAACGUAGGGAAACUUACGCUAAUACCGCAUACGACCUACGGGUGAAAGCAGGGGAUCUUCGGACUCUGCGCGAUUGAAUGAGCCGAUGUCGGAUUAGCUAGUUGGCGGGGUAAAGGCCCACCAAGGCGACGAUCCGUAGCAGGUCUGAGAGGAUGAUCGGCCACACUGGAACUGAGACACGGUCCAGACUCCUACGGGAGGCAGCAGUGGGGAAUAUUGGGCAAUGGGCGCAAGCCUGAUCCAGCCAUGCCGCGUGGGUGAAGAAGGCCUUCGGGUUGUAAAGCCCUUUUGCUGGGAAAGAAAAGCAGCAGGUUAAUACCCCGCCGUUCUGACGGUACCCAAAGAAUAAGCACCGGCUAACUUCGUG
RNAcentral lists this ribosomal RNA (492 nucleotides) under uncultured bacterium. RNAcentral describes it as "partial 16S ribosomal RNA". It matches the Rfam family "Bacterial small subunit ribosomal RNA", at positions 29 to 507 of the family's 1533-position model. The record is from RNAcentral.